GAUGAACGCUGGCGGCGUGCUUAACACAUGCAAGUCGAACGAAGCACUUUAUUUGAUUUCCUUCGGGACUGAUUAUUUUGUGACUGAGUGGCGGACGGGUGAGUAACGCGUGGGUAACCUGCCUUGUACAGGGGGGUAACAGUUGGAAACGGCUGCUAAUACCGCAUAAGCGCACAGCAUCGCAUGAUGCAGUGUGAAAAACUCCGGUGGUAUAAGAUGGACCCGCGUUGGAUUAGCUAGUUGGUGAGGUAACGGCCCACCAAGGCGACGAUCCAUAGCCGACCUGAGAGGGUGACCCGCCACAUUGGGACUGAGACACGGCCCAAACUCCUACGGGAGGCAGCAGUGGGGAAUAUUGCACAAUGGGCGAAAGCCUGAUGCAGCGACGCCGCGUGAGCGAAGAAGUAUUUCGGUAUGUAAAGCUCUAUCAGCAGGGAAGAUAAUGACGGUACCUGACUAAGAAGCACCGGCUAAAUACGUG
RNAcentral lists this ribosomal RNA (481 nucleotides) under uncultured bacterium. RNAcentral describes it as "partial 16S ribosomal RNA". It matches the Rfam family "Bacterial small subunit ribosomal RNA", at positions 28 to 507 of the family's 1533-position model. The record is from RNAcentral.